UUAAUUGUAGCUAAAUAAGCAAUAUUACUGUUAAUGAUAAGAUAAGAAACUCUUCAAUUAAG
Molecule: transfer RNA, 62 nt
Filed under: Calantica studeri
Lineage: Eukaryota; Metazoa; Arthropoda; Thecostraca; Calanticomorpha; Calanticidae
Description: tRNA-Asn
Source: RNAcentral